This 484-nucleotide ribosomal RNA is filed under the name uncultured bacterium. RNAcentral's name for it is "partial 16S ribosomal RNA". It matches the Rfam family "Bacterial small subunit ribosomal RNA", at positions 28 to 507 of the family's 1533-position model. The record is from RNAcentral.
AUUGAACGCUGGCGGCAUGCUUUACACAUGCAAGUCGAACGGCAGCGCGGGCUUCGGCCUGGCGGCGAGUGGCGAACGGGUGAGUAAUGCAUCGGAACGUGCCCAGUAGUGGGGGAUAGCCCGGCGAAAGCCGGAUUAAUACCGCAUACGACCUGAGGGUGAAAGCGGGGGACCGAAAGGCCUCGCGCAAUUGGAGCGGCCGAUGUCGGAUUAGCUAGUUGGUGGGGUAAAGGCUUACCAAGGCGACGAUCCGUAGCUGGUCUGAGAGGACGACCAGCCACACUGGGACUGAGACACGGCCCAGACUCCUACGGGAGGCAGCAGUGGGGAAUUUUGGACAAUGGGGGCAACCCUGCUCCAGCCAUGCCGCGUGCGGGAAGAAGGCCUUCGGGUUGUAAACCGCUUUUGUUCGGGAAGAAAUCCUCUGGGCUAAUACCCCGGGGGGAUGACGGUACCGGAAGAAUAAGCACCGGCUAACUACGUG